Molecule: non-coding RNA, 77 nt
Filed under: unclassified sequences
Description: S6-S18-Chlorobi ribosomal protein leader
Rfam family: S6-S18-Chlorobi ribosomal protein leader
Source: RNAcentral
UUGCAGAUGGUGUUCCCCUUUAAUGGUUGAAGCCGUGGGGCUGAUUAGCGCAAUGUCAGACCCUCACCAUAUUGCAA